This 1687-nucleotide long non-coding RNA is filed under the name Pelobates cultripes (western spadefoot toad). The record is from RNAcentral. Lineage: Eukaryota; Metazoa; Chordata; Amphibia; Anura; Pelobatidae.
AUGGGGACACAGUGAGACCCGGGGACACUGAGAGAUCCGGAGACACUUGGUGACACUGAGACACUUGGGGACACUAGGAGACAUGGGGGCACAGUGGCACUUGGAGACAUGGGGGGCACUUGUGGAUACAGACAUAGAGACAUUGGGACACUGGGAGAAAUGGGGUCACAGACACUGGGAGACAUGGGGCACAGACAUUUGAUGACACUGGGAGAAAUGGGGUCACAGACACUAGGGACACAGAUACAUGGGGACACAGACAUUGGGAGACUAGGGGACACUGGGAGACAUGGGGACACAGACACUAGGGACACUGGCUGGGAGGCAUGGGGACACAGUCACUAGGGAGACAUGGGGGCACUUGUGGACAUAGACAUGGGCACACUGGGAGACAUGGGGACACUGAGACACUGGCUGGGAGACAUGGGGACACAGACAUUUGAUGACACUGGGAGAAAUGGGGUCACAGACACUAGGGACACUGAGACACUGGCUGGGAGACAUGGGGACACAGACAUUUGGUAACACUGAGAGACUAGGGGACACUGGGAGACUAGGGGACACUGGGAGCCAUGGGUACACUGAAACACUAGGGACACUGGCUGGUAGACAUGGGGACACUGGGAGACAUGCAGACACUGUGUCUCUAGUGUCUCUGUGUCCCAAUGUGUCUCCCUAUGUCUCACAGCAUCCCCAUGUGUCUGAGUCCCAAUGUCUCACAGUGUCCCCACAUCUCCCAGUGUCGCCUAGUCUCUGUGUCCCCAUGUGUCCCCUAGUCUCUCAGUGUCCCCUAGUCUCUCAGUGUCCCCUAGUGUCUCAGUGUCCCCAUGUCUCCCUGCUGCCUUUCCCCCAUCCUUCACAUAUCUGAGUUGUAGUCUCUCUCUGCAGGCUGGGAGCUGCUGUCUGGACUCUGUGCUGUGUAGCUGCUCCCCCGCAGAUCAGUGAGAAGAGAGAGGCAGGGAGAUGCUGUAACUUACUAUCCCUACUUCUCUCCAUACACAGUGACCCCUAGUGGCCGAUGCUGGUAUUGCAGAGUAAUCUCUGUUUAUACUGAGAAAAAUAUUUGCAUUUGUAUUGCCGGUAUUACUGCAAUACCAUCACAGCCAGGCAGCCUCAAAUACCGGCUAUGCCUUAAAAUACCAGUCUAGUGGCAAACCUAAGAGUAGUGUGUUUUUUGUUUUUUUGUUUUUUUUAAAUGGGCCUGGGCCCAGAGCUGCAGCUCCAUCAGCCCCUAUGUUAAUUCGGCCCUGUUACUCCUGGAUGGCAGCACUUUGAACGCUUAUAUUACUUUGGUAAUGCAGGGGUUAAAGGACCACUAUAGUGCCAGGAAAACAUACUCGUUUUCCUGGCACUAUAGUGCCCUGAGGGUGCCCCCACCCUCAGGGUCCCCCUCCCGCCCGGUUCUGGGAAAGGGGUUAAAACUUACCUUUUUCCAGCGCUGGGCAGAGAGCUCUCCUCCUCCGAUCCUCCUCCGUUCCUCCCCACCGGCUGAAUGCGCACGCGCGGCAAGAGCUGCGCCCGUAUACAGCCGGUUGCAUAGGAAAGCAUUUACAAUGCUUUCCUAUGGACGCUGGCGUGCUCUCACUGUGAAAAUCACAGUGAGAAGCACGCAAGCGCCUCUAGUGGCUGUCAAUGAGACAGCCACUAGAGGAUUAGGGGGAAGGCUUAACCCAUUCAUAAACAUAGC